AUUGAACGCUGGCGGCAUGCCUUACACAUGCAAGUCGAACGGCAGCGCGGGAGCAAUCCUGGCGGCGAGUGGCGAACGGGUGAGUAAUACAUCGGAACGUGCCCAAUCGUGGGGGAUAACGCAGCGAAAGCUGUGCUAAUACCGCAUACGAUCUACGGAUGAAAGCAGGGGAUCGCAAGACCUUGCGCGAAUGGAGCGGCCGAUGGCAGAUUAGGUAGUUGGUGAGGUAAAGGCUCACCAAGCCUUCGAUCUGUAGCUGGUCUGAGAGGACGACCAGCCACACUGGGACUGAGACACGGCCCAGACUCCUACGGGAGGCAGCAGUGGGGAAUUUUGGACAAUGGGCGAAAGCCUGAUCCAGCCAUGCCGCGUUCAGGAUGAAGGCCUUCGGGUUGUAAACUGCUUUUGUACGGAACGAAACGGUCUUUUCUAAUAAAGAAGGCUAAUGACGGUACCGUAAGAAUAAGCACCGGCUAACUACGUG
This 484-nucleotide ribosomal RNA is filed under the name uncultured bacterium. Its description in RNAcentral is "partial 16S ribosomal RNA". It matches the Rfam family "Bacterial small subunit ribosomal RNA", at positions 30 to 507 of the family's 1533-position model. The record is from RNAcentral.